CGCGCAUGAAUGGAUUAACG
Molecule: small nuclear RNA, 20 nt
Filed under: Arabidopsis thaliana (thale cress)
Lineage: Eukaryota; Viridiplantae; Streptophyta; Magnoliopsida; Brassicales; Brassicaceae
Description: snRNA_05579
Source: RNAcentral